Long non-coding RNA from Rhinopithecus roxellana (golden snub-nosed monkey), 616 nucleotides. RefSeq lists it as uncharacterized. The record is from RefSeq and is a predicted model, not a curated record. NCBI's taxonomy places the organism in Eukaryota, Metazoa, Chordata, Mammalia, Primates, Cercopithecidae. The transcript has 3 exons.
UCACUGCACUCUAGCCUAGGAAACAGAGUGAGACUCUGCCUCAAACAAAAAAUCAAAACAAGUUCACAUUAUUUAGGAGUGAUGCUAGCGAGUCUGUGCUGCUCCUGACAGAAAGCAGAUGACACCCUCAAGGCAAACCGUUCCGGAGAGAAAACUGCACACAUGCGAGCCCUGGGAAUCAGGCACACAUGGAUCGUAUCCCAGCCCUGCCCUUGCUGGUUACGUCUGGAUCUUCAUCUCCUCAUCUAUAUGUCAGGGAUGCCACAACUGGCAUUGUGCUCAAAACUGAAAGAGGCAAUGUCUGAAAAGCACAUGGCCCCGUGCAGACCCAGCGUGGUUCCUCUCCAGUGUCUCCUCUUGGAACUGUACCUGAUUUUAUCAUCAGUUUUCAUCUGAAUACAAUGGGGAAUGAGACGAUUUUGCUUUUGUUUCUUGGCCUGAAAUCACUUGACCCUGAAAGACUUAUGAAGACAGGGUGAGAAAUGGAGUCAACUGUACACAUCAUGAUGAUGGAGGAAGGAAGAGCGAGGGGGCUGCUUUUUCCAUUAUUUACCCUUUUGAGGAAUUUAACAUCUCACUGCAUCUUAUAAACAGUUACAACAAUUAUUUAAUGUUU